RNAcentral lists this ribosomal RNA (763 nucleotides) under uncultured bacterium. Its description in RNAcentral is "bacterial SSU rRNA". It matches the Rfam family "Bacterial small subunit ribosomal RNA", at positions 8 to 769 of the family's 1533-position model. The record is from RNAcentral.
AGGGUUUGAUCAUGGCUCAGAUUGAACGCUGGCGGCAGGCUUAACACAUGCAAGUCGAGCGCGAAAGCCCUUCGGGGUGAGUAGAGCGGCGGACGGGUGAGUAACGCGUAGGAAUCUACCCAGUGGUGGGGGACAACAUGGUGAAAACCAUGCUAAUACCGCAUACGCCCUACGGGGGAAAGCGGGGGACCUUCGGGCCUCGCGCCAUUGGAUGAGCCUGCGUCGGAUUAGCUAGUUGGUGGGGUAAAGGCCCACCAAGGCGACGAUCCGUAGCUGGUCUGAGAGGAUGAUCAGCCACACUGGGACUGAGACACGGCCCAGACUCCUACGGGAGGCAGCAGUGGGGAAUAUUGCGCAAUGGGGGCAACCCUGACGCAGCCAUGCCGCGUGUGUGAAGAAGGCCUUAGGGUUGUAAAGCACUUUCAAUUGGGAAGAAAGGUUGUCCGUUAAUAGCGUGCAGCUGUGACAUUACCUUUAGAAGAAGCACCGGCUAACUCCGUGCCAGCAGCCGCGGUAAUACGGAGGGUGCGAGCGUUAAUCGGAAUUACUGGGCGUAAAGCGCGCGUAGGCGGUUUGUUAAGUCAGCUGUGAAAGCCCCGGGCUCAACCUGGGAAUUGCAGUUGAUACUGGCCGACUAGAGUACGAGAGAGGGAGGUAGAAUUCCACGUGUAGCGGUGAAAUGCGUAGAUAUGUGGAGGAAUACCAGUGGCGAAGGCGGCCUCCUGGCUCGAUACUGACGCUGAGGUGCGAAAGCGUGGGGAGC